This 31885-nucleotide long non-coding RNA is filed under the name Ricinus communis (castor bean). RNAcentral describes it as "long non-coding RNA (RCOM_LNC001721)". Lineage: Eukaryota; Viridiplantae; Streptophyta; Magnoliopsida; Malpighiales; Euphorbiaceae. The record is from RNAcentral.
UGUUUCCUCUCUAGCAAACUUGAUUCUCCUUGCCUCUUCUAUCGACACCCGGAAUGCAUUGGCAAUCACCUCCACUGGCAUGCCGCGAACAGCAGAAGAGCGGCCGGAAAGAUCAGAGGUCAUGGCAUUGUCGUUGGUCUUGAACGCGACGUAUUCGAAUCUGUCACUCUCUGAUCGUUUCACCACCACAAAGUUCUGUGGCACGGUCAGGACCUGUCCUUCUCUUACAUUUCCAUCGAACACACUGUUGCCGUUCUCAUCCACCACCUGAAUCCUUGCUUGACCCUUCACGGCAUAGAUUACGCUGUGGGCAUUUAUGUGCCAGUGGGGUAACCUCACAGCAUCCUGCCAGGAACAUAUCAAUCAUUAUAAAUUGUGGAAGCGCUUCAUUAUAAUUAGAAUCAAAGGAGCAUUGAUGACUUACAUUGCGAAGAACGACAUGGGAAGCACUGAGUUGGAGCCAUCGCAGAAUAGGGAGGUUGUGGCUGUUGACAGUGCUAACACGGCCAACUUCUGGGACAAAUAUAUCAGAGCGAGAGGGAUCAGCAAUGUUCUCUUUCAUUCUCAUGGUGCAAAAUGUCUCCUCAACGCCAUUGUAACGUCCUGGUCGGCCUUCUUGCUCUCUCUCUCGUUGUUCCUCUCUCUCUUGUUGAGACCGGGGUGGCCUGACUACCAGAAGCCUACCUUCUACAUUCACAAUGCUGCCUCUGAAGUCAUUUUGGCCUUGAAGCUUCCUAGCCAACUGCUCGUCCACGUUGAAAGCUUCGGCAAGGACUCUUGAGUCUAUUCCGCAGAAAAGAUUGUUGCACGAAACAUGUGGUGGCCGACUUGGACGGCGAGCAAAUUGAUGCUGGCCGCGCUCAUAGUCGCCGCGUGGAAGUUGAGGGAACUCAUCUUCUGUGUUGCCAGCUAGAUAGAAGUUCUGUUAACAAGUUCAAGAAAAACCAUAAAAUGUGAAUUAACGCCUAACAAACACCUGACCAUACAGACACGCGUAGGUAGGCAUAUGUUUUUGAUUCUUACUCUGGGGUUCCUGUCAAGCUGGUUGCCUAUGUUGGCAGUGUCAAGGACAGAAAUAGUAACGACAGGCUCAUUGCCGUCGUUGUAGCACCAGUGGGCUACUCCAGCAGGCAAAGCAAUAACAUCGCCCUUACGGAAAUGACGAAUCUUCUGGUGCUGAUCACGAACUCUGCUGCUGCCACCUGAUUGCUGAGACUCUUGGAGUGUUUCAGCACAUCCCAGGAGCAAGACCCCUGUCAUUCCUCUACCUGUAUAUACACAAAUUAAUCAUCUCAUAAUCCAAAAUUCCAAGCACAUUAACUCACAUAUACAGCUUGAAUAUAUAAUUGCAGCUUUUGAAUAUUUAAUUUUACCCUGGACAAUGUAUAAGAGUUGAGGAGCAUUGCUAUAGGAUGGCAAUAGAAGGCCAUUGGGAUGAAUGGUACGUCUAACAACAGCAACACCAGCGCAUUGGAACUGAUCACGGUUAGGAUUCCACGACUCAACCAAACCAGCUUCGGUCUGAAUACGUUUAUCGGGUUCGAGGGCAUAGAGUUUAUUGAGUUGGCACCCAUUACCCUGCUGAAAUUCACGGCGAGCUAGAGAGCCAUGGAAGAGAACAAGUAGGAAGAAAGAAAGAGAGAGCAGCGAAGAAGGCUGAACCAUAGUGGCAGAGAGGAGGGGAUAGGUGGUUCUGGGAUGGAAGUGGCGAAUGGAAGGGGUUGGUAUUUAUAGAGGAAGAAGGAGAUGCAAAAGAAAGAUGAUCGUAAGGUUUCUUUGGUCACUCUCUUUGAUUUGCAUGGCUACUUCAUCUUAACUUCUUACACCUAAUAAAGUCAGAUAGGGCAGGUGUAUCAAAACUCCAUAGAAGAAUACAAAAGUUUGUGAAUGGGGAAAAAGAAAAAAGAAGAAGACAACAUUGGAUUGCAAAAACCAUUACCACAACACCAAAAAGUGAUCAAGUGUCUAAUAACUAUGGUUGAAAUUUAGCAAUUGAAGUGUCAUGUAGGCAUAACUAUGGUUGAUUUAGUACUUUAACUCGAUGUUUGAUCUUUAACGUCCAAGUAAAGAGAGGUUAGGGACAAAUGUUAGAUUUCUUUUCUUCUUUUGCAUUUAAUAUAACGCUCUUUUGCAUCUCCAUGCCCAAUUGUUUAAAUCACACAUACAGAAGAUGAUCUAUCCAGUGGAGUCAAUGUUUGAUCUAUUUCGUUAUAUUUACAGAUUGAUAAUUUAAUAUACUUUACUUAAACAUAUUUUGUUGUCUAUAAUAUUUACUUAAACAAAUCUCAUACUAUAAUUCAAACUGUAUGAUACUUUACUAGUAAUACUUUAAGAACACAAAUCCUAUAUAUAUACACUUAAAACUCUUAUUAAUUCGAAAAGAUAUACACUUGCUCAAAUAACCCUAGCUAGUUGUAACCAGAGUUACAACCACAUAGAUGCCAACAAAUAAAGACCAGCCUGGAGGGCAAUUAAUGACCAUCGUCCCCUAAAUGUCCCUUCAGGUACCAAGUCUGUCUAAGCUUCAACAUUAAUGGGUGUUAAACCCUCAUAAUCUUUGUUCUGUUUAUAGUAAGUAUCACUGUUGGUCCUUCAUAAGAUUUCUUCAAUCUAACCACCUCCUUAUCCUCUAAUAUUUUUUCUCUUUUUAAAAAAAAUAUGUAGUUCUUUUGUUUAGCUUUGAAUUUAUUUGGUGCAUGGCUUAGAAAGAAAUUAAGAUUAGUAAAUGCAAGUAUUGAUCCUCUGUCAUUUCAGGACUAUGAGAAUUAAUUGACGCAGCGGCAGUAGUUUCUUUUGUUUUUUCGUUGUCUCCCUCUCUUUGUUCUUGUUAAUGCCGAAUUAAUUCACGAGGUUAUUAUAGUUAAAUAUGAUAUCAAGUGAAAAAUAAAAGUAGAAAAACAAAAGCAAAAUGACCAUAGAAGCUGGUAGAUGGAAGAAGAGUCAAGAAAGCAUGGUGAACGCAUCACUUGCAUUCUCUACUACAAAUCCAGUUAUCGGUGACAAUUUUGUUUCUGCCACCAGAAUAAUUGUCACAAAUACAACAUAAUAUGUGACAUUACAUUUUAGGAUUAAGUAUUAUUUAUCGCUGCAGUUUGGUCUAAUACACAAAUUGAUUCUUAUAUUUUUUUAUUAUAUUAAAAUUUAGAACGUUUAAAUCAAAAAAAUUUACCCUAAAAACUUUUUCAGCGCAAAUAUAUAGUUAAAUUAUUUAAAAUACGUAAUCUAAACCCACAUUUAAUAAAUAACUUUUUAUUUUAGCUUAUGUGGCUAAUAGUAGACCCAUUAAAAACAUUAAAAAUAUGAAAAAAAGAAUAUUUAGAUCCAAAUUGAGAUAGUGAUCACGGUUCAAUUAACUGAAUCGUCGGCCAUUUUUAAGAACUUAAUAUAUAUAUCAAUUUUUAAAUUUAUGAACCUUAAAUCUAAAAUAUUAAUAUUGGCUAACCUGUAUUUACAGUACGGUUAACCAGAUUUUUAAUUUUUAAUAAAUAUUAAAUUUUAUAAUUUUUUUAAUAAAUUUUUAAUAUUUUAGCAUCCUUUUUCUUUCCUCAAUUAAUAAAUUAAUAAUAACAACGAUAAUAAUAAUAUAAUUAAUAUACUAUUUUUUUAAAAUUAGACUUAUUUUUUAAUAAGAAUUUUUUACUAAUUAAUAUAUUAAAUAUAUUUAUAUAAAUUAAUACUUCAGUAAUUUAUUAACUAAUUUAUUAAUUAAAUCUAUAUAAGCUAAUAUUAAAUAUAUAAUGGAUACAAGCAUUCCACAUAAUCAAUAAUUAUAAUAAAUAUAAUAAUUCUAUAUAUAUAUAUAUAUAAUUUCAGUGGUUAACUAAAACGUUGGUCUUUUAAUAUAGAGAAUCGAAACUAAAAUUGAAAACUGAAAAUUUCUAAAAUGAAAAAUAAAGUUGAAACGUUGGUUCAGUUAAUUUAUUUUAUCAAUUUAAUUUUUUUUUUUUUAUUCAGACAGAAUUCCUUCGAUUUUUUUUAUAUCACCCCUAGUGGUGAUAUGCCCUCUCUCUAUUUACUGUGUGAGUCGAUAUUUUAACAUUCCUUUUAAAUUAUUAUAUAUAUAUAUAUAUAUAUAUAUAUAUAUAUAUAUAUAUAUAUAUAUAUAUAUAUAUAUAUAUAUAUUAUAUUAAUUUUUGAAAUAAGUUUUGAAAUAAGUUUUAAUAUAUUUAUAAAUUCUAUAAUACAUUGUUAGAAGUUAUAUUAUUGAUAAAAUCAUAAUUCAGUGAUGGUUCAAGUUAAAUAUAUAUAAUAUUAUAUAAAAGAAUAAAAGUAUAAAUAUGUGUAUUANNNACAUAUAUACCUCAAGUUAAAAGUGCUAAACUUUUAUUAAUUUGACUGAAUUUGAUAACUUGAUACAGAAUGGGAUUAUGGUUGUCAUAGAAGCAACUAAUUCUUUUGUAAAUUUUGAAAUGGCAGAGAAAGGAAAAGGAAAAGAAGAAAGAAGAAGAAAAAGUAGGAGAAGGAAGAGAGAUAAAAGAGAAAAGUGGUAUUUUUUGAAAGUAAUUACUAUAUAUCUUUCAUAUUUUUUUUAUAUUACACUACUUACUCCUUAAUAUUUAAGAUUAGAUUUUUUUAUUUUUCUAUUUUAUAAUUUUAUAUUAAAGUCUAUUUUAUCGGAAUUUCUGCUAAAGAAUUGUUAACUAGGUUUAGUUUUAUACUAUUUGUCCACUAUGUUUUUUGUGUAAUAUACAUGCCUCCUUUAUUUUAUUUAUUGUAUUAAUUUUUUUUUUUGUAUUUUAAAAAUCAAUGCAAUUAAAAGACUAAAUUGAUAAAAAAAUAAUUUAAUUUUUAAAUUUUUUAUCAAAGUUAUGAUUUUAGUGUAACAAAAUUAAUAUUAAGGAUAAUAUCUAUUUUAUUUUAAUAAUUUAAAGUUAAAUUAUAUAAUUUUUUAAUAUUUUGAUAAAUAUAAUUAUUUUUAAAACACUUAAAUUUUAUUAGAGUUUAAUUAUGCCAAAAUUAGAGUAAUUAAAGAACACUAGUUAAUUAUUUGUGUACGAACACAACUUGAUUUUUACAUAAAAGUUAGACAAGAGAAUUCUAGUGUAACAAAUAAACUAUAAGGGACAUGUGUAUAUUACAUAAAAGAUCAAGGGGCAAAUGACAAUUGUUUAACAGAAAGUUUGACCAAAAGAAUUUUUAGUAUAAAAUAGAGAGAUGAAAUAUAUAUUUAUUAAAUAUUAAGAGGUAAUUAAUAUGAAAAUUUAUAAAGACAAAUAGUAAUUACAAAUGAAUGAGAAUUGUAUACAUUAAACCACCAUUAGCCACAUCAACACUAUUAAUUUCUCUGUUAUGUUGAGAGGUUUGAAUUGGAGGCUUCUACAAUUUAAGGGUAAAUAUGCUAUUCUCACCAAAUAUUAGCAGCAAAAAUGCACAUUUUCCUCUACUUUUAACUGGUCACUAUAUUAAAUUAAUUUUAUACUAAAAACUUCUUUUGUUAAAAUUUCUAUUAGGAAAUCGUUAAUUAGGUUUGGUUUUAUACUUUUUUUUUUUGUAAUAUACAAAUUGCACAUGUAUUUUAUUUUUACACUAAAAUUUCCUUGUAGUUUGAAAGUCAACGUAAUUAAGGAUCUAAAUUGAUUAAAAAAUAUAAUUUGAUCCUCAAACUUUUUAUCAAAGUUAUAAUUCUACUGAACAAAAUUAAUAAUAAUAAUAAUACUAUCUAUUUUAUUUUAACAAUUUCAAAUUAAAUUAUAUGAAUCUUCAAUAUUUUAAUUAAUAUAAGUACUUUUAAGAUAUUUAAAUUUUACUAAAAUUUAAUUAUGCUAAAGUUAGAAUAAUUAAAGAACACUAAUUAAUUGUUUUCGUACAGACACUAAAAUUAAUUUUUAUAUAAAAAUUAGACAAGAGAAUUUUAGUAUAAGGUCAAUUUGUAUAUUGCACUAAAGAUUAAGGAAAAAAUAGUAUAAAACUAAAUUUAGUUAACGGUUGGUUAACAAAAAUUCUAACCAAAGGGGUGUUACACAUGGUGCCCUUUCCUUAGCUUCCUUAAUCACACAAAUAUUUUCCUAAUCUUAAAAACAAAAGAUCCUAAGACAAUGAAAGAGUCCAAACCCAUCAGUCUCUGCAAUGUGUUUUAUAAAACUGUGUCUAAAGUGAUUACUAAUAGAACCAUGAAAGUACUACCUAGUGUUAUUUCUCAAACUCAAAGUGGCUUUGUGCAGGGGAGAUUGAUUACAUAUAAUAUUCUUAUUGCUUUUGAGUUCUUUCAUCACAUGAAAUGAAAUGCAUGAACAAAGGUAAAAAAAAAGUCAGAUGGCUCUAAAACUUAACACGACUAAAGCAUAUGAUAGGGUUGAAUGAAUUUUACGGAGAAAGUUAUGCAUAAUAUAAGAUUUCUUGUUGCCUUGAUUGAGCUGACCAUGAAGUGCAUUAGAUUUGUUUUUUUUACUGUCAUGAUUAAUGGCUUUUUUCAUGAUUUCUUUAAGCCCUAAGAAGGGAAUAAGACAUGGCGAUCCUCUAUCCUCCUUAUCUAUUUAUAAUGUGUGUUGAGGCUUUUUUAGGAUUGCUUUAUAAUGCUGAGAGGGACGAGAAAACUCAUGGUGCUUGAGUUGCUAGAGUUGCUCUCACCAUAUCUCAUUUAUUUGUUGCAAAUGAUUCAAUAGUCUAUGCUAGAGCAAUUCAAUAGGAAGGGGAAUCCAUUAUGUGAUACAAACCAAACUAGCACAACGAAUCCUACUCUAACAAAGAGUCUUGAUGAUGCAAACCUUACUAGCUCAAGGAAUUCUAAUCCAAUAAGGAGUCCUGACUCAACUGGGAAUCCUAAUCCUGUAAGGAGUCCUGAUAAUAUUAGGAGUUCAAGAAUCCUAAUUCGGAGUUCAAGCAAUAAAAAGAAUCCUAAUUCAACUAGGAGUCAUAGUUCGAUUGAAAUUGCAAGUCAAUGAGCUUAUCGAAGUCAUUUUGGCUAAGGACACAUCAAGACUUAAAAAAUUGGAUUUAAGUUCAAGGCUUGUUAAUCUAAUUCAGUUUAUUGGACUUGAAUGAAUUUAAUUGGCUUAAAAUGACCAAAAGAAGUUGAAUUGGAGCAUAUGACAACUCUGGGCCUAACUUGGCUUAUGUUAUGAGGCCCAUCUAUAUGACUUAUGUAAAUUAGGAUUUUAUGGCUUAUUUUGGGUGGCCACACAUGUAUUUUAACAUAAUUAGAACUUUGUUUAAGUUAUCUCUUUUAGUUAGGAAGGUUAUAUUUAUCCUAGAUUAGAUGUAAAUCCUUAUUAGUGGUUAUAUUUAUUCUAGAUUAGAUAUAAAUCCUUAUUAGUUAAGUAAGAGUUCUAUUCUUACUAAGACUUUGGAUAUGUCUUUAAAGCAUGUCAAAUUCGUAUGCCUUUGGCAGAUUAUAAUUAAUUACAGUUUUGUACUUCCUUUCAAAUCAAAAUUACUUGUAUCUUGUGUACUUAUUGAAUGUAAAACUUACUUAUCAAGGAGUUGAUAUAUCUUUGUGGCGUACUUAGGAUUGGGGUUUAAGGGAUUUAGUUUUCCUUAGGUUCUAAUUUUUUAUUAUCUUUCUAAGAGAUCUCUCUUCUAAUCUUUCUUAGAGGUUAAACCGAAUUGGUUCUUGGAGUUUUUAUGUUAAUAUGUUGGGGGUCUGCAAUUCAAAAGUAUUAGAGGGCAUCUGGUCUGGUGAUAAACUUAGAGAAUUCGGUGGUGGUGUUUAGCAUUAAUGUGAGCAUGGUUAGCAGGCACCAAAUUAGCAAUUGCUUGGGAGUCCAGCUUGUGAGUAAAUUUGAUAAGUAUCUUGGAUUACCUACAGAGCUAGGGAAAGUAAAGAAGCAGAUUUUUGGGAUGCUGUCUGAUCGGGUUUGGAAGAAAUUAUGUAGAUGAAAUUAGAAUGCCUUGUCACGACCCCACCCGUGGGCCCGUGACCGGCACUAGGGAAUGGGUAAAGAGGUAAAAAUUUUGAGAAAGAAAGAUUAAGGUCCCUGGUCGAGCAUUGCUCUCGGGGCGCCAGUCUUAUUGGAUUAAGAGAGCCGAAUGGCUACUAGAUUUCUUAUUUGGAUAUUUAAGUGACCAGACUGGAGGUAAGGUCCCUGGUCGAGCUUUGCUCUCGGGGCGCCAGUCUUAUUGGAUAAGAGAGCCAAAAGGCUAAGGCUGAGAGUUAAGUGACCGGACUGGAGGUAAGGUCCCUGGUCGAGCUUUGCUCUCUAGGCCCCAGUCCUGUUGGAAUGAGAGGUUUGAGAUGUUAGAGUUGAGGUUAGUUGAGACAUAAGUGUUGAAAUAAUCGAGAUUUUAGAGUUGGGAUUAGAGUUCUACUGAAGUACUCUGUCCCGUUGCAUGUGGAAUAAAUUUUGUUUAAGCAUGGCAUGACACGUAUGGUUCGCGUGAUUUACUAAUUAUUUUAAAAUUAAAUGAAUGUGACAUUGAGAUAUUUGAAACUGUUUUAGAUAUAUGAUUUUAACUCACUCUCGAGACUGACAGUCUCCAUUUAUGUUGUUUUUCAGAUUCGUGACUGUUAGUUCUCUCGCGACUCUUAUUCAGUAACCCGACUCCUUCAUCAUCGGGUGAAGUAUUUGAUUUGGUAUGUAAAAUGGUAAAUCUUAGAUUCUCCGCAGUAGUAAAUAGUAGAUGUAUCAGUUGUAAAUUUUCUGAGCUUCGGGUCUCGCCUAGUUUUUCUGGUAGACCGAAGUAAUUUUGUAAAGUGUAACUAUUAAGAUAAAUUGUGACUUUAAUAAUAUUAAUUUGAGAUGAGAUUUGUUUAAAUCAGUGAGUGUCAGGCUUACUACGGGUUUCGGUGGCCUUAAGCCUACCCAUUCCCUAGUGCCGGUCACGGGCCCACGGGUGGGGUCGUGACAAAGUUGGUAUCAGAGCUUAGGUUUAGAUUUCCUUCGACCUAAGUUAAGAUUUUUCUUGGUACUGCGGAGUUAGGAUCAUGUCUGUCUUGUUGUUUUCAUUGACUCCAGUGUUUCAGCCUUCACUGUUAGAGAGUCAGUCUUUCCUUUCUUGUAAGCUUGUCUUUGGUGCUGUGCUGAGAAUGAGCUUGUAGCGAUGGGAAGAUCCAGAGCGCGAUAGACUCGUGCUGUUUCUUCAAGUGAUUAGUGCAGUCCGCCUUUAGAAGAUUUGAUUGUUGUUUCGAUGGUGGGCACCGCAGUCAGUUUUAGUGUAGAGCGUGGUUGCAAUCGUGUCAUGGAUUGUCUCGUCAUUGCAUCAGGCAUCGUCUUAUUGAGUAGCGCCGAAAGUAGUGCCUGGGAAGUCGAGUAGAUGUCAGAGCUCUAUGGUUGAGUUUUGGUGAUUGUAAGAAGCUUAAGAAAGGUAGCAGGAGUAUUUUCGGACGCUCAUAAUCCAGAGAAACUUAAGCGAACAUUAUCUAUUUUUCUAAGUAGAACAAGUGUUUUAAAAUACAAUAUUGCGCCCAGUCCCGUAAGAAUGCAUAUGGCAUUUCACUGUUAGGCAUACAUAAAUUCAUUUUAGGACAUGCAUCAUACAUUGUGCAUUGCAACCCUUGGUGAUAGGGGGCAUCAUCACCCUGGCGCGCGAUAUUGUAGAAUUUUAUAUAAAGAAAAAUGGCUAGAGAUUUUACGAUUUUGUAAAAGUAUUUUUCAAGAUAAUAAAGUUUUUAUCAGUGAUGAUUAUAAAGUAAAUAAAUAAGUAAAUUUUUUCAAAGUAAAUAGUGUUAGCUUGAGAAUUCUCUGGAUGACGAGUUGAGUUGCUGAGAGAGUAAGUCUGUGGAGCUGUAGGCCCCAUGUUAGAUUAUAAGGGAGGCUUUUGGAUUUCAGUCAAGGAGGAAUCUUGUGUCAGGAUGGCAUGGGUUAUGUCGGUUGAUGCGAUCAGAUGGAUGUUAUGUCAUAAGUGAUGUGACUCGGUAAGAAAAUAAGGUUAUGGAGACCCUUGGUUUUGUCGGCAGGUUGGUGAGGUGGCAUGUAAGUUGGACUUGCCGCCAAGUAUUAGUAAUGUUCUCUGAGGUCAAAUCCAGUUGUUUGUAAGUCUGAGUUGAGGAAGUAUAUUUUCGAUCCUUUGCUCGUGUUGGAUCCUCAGUGUGUGAAUUUAAGUGAAGAUUUGGUUUCCGAGAAGUAGUAAGUGAGGAUCGUGGAUUUUCAGGUUCGCCAGUUUUAUUUAAGGGUUUUGUCGAUGAGUCUUGUGGUUUAGUUUAGUUUCUGCCGAGGAAAGUUCUCUAGAAGCCGGGUUGGAGUUGAGAGGUUCCUAAUUAGUUUCAGUCUUAGAGUGUAGCCCCUUUUCUUUUAAAAUUCGAGGUCGAAUUUUUUUUUUUAAGGGGGGGAGAAUGUAACACCCGGAAUUUUUAUAUAUUUAAUAAUGAGUUUUUAUUUAAGUUAAUUUUAGCUUCAUUAUUAUUGGGUUUAAUUUGAAAUGAUUAUAUUUUGGUUAUUCAAAAUUUUUCCAAAUGCAUAUUUAUAUAAGUAAAAUUAUAUAUUGAAAAAUUUUGGAAGAAAUUAUAAGGGAUGUUUUUAUAAAAGAAUUUUGAGAAAAUUGGUAUUAUAAUUGAUUAGUAGUAUUAAAUUUUAAGUUGGAAAUUGAUUAUUUAAUUUAAUUGUGUGUAGGAUUUAAUUGGAAAUUUAUUUUGGAAUAAGGAUUGAAAGUAUAAUGUUAUUUUUAUGGGGUUUUAAUGGAAAUUUGUGAGCUUGGUAUUUUUGUAAAUAAAUAUGUCGGUCAGGGGUAUUUUUGUAAUUGUGUAUUUUCAAUAAUUCGGAUUUGGCCCAAAUUAAAUAGUUAGGGGCUUAAUUGAAAGGCUAAAAAGAAGUUUGGGGGUCAAAUUGGAAUUCUGCAGGAUGAAAUUGUAAGUAAUUAAGAAAGUUGAGGGACGAAAUUGUAAUAAGGAAAAGUUCAAGGGUCAAAUGUCGAUAUUGAAAGGAAUGGAAGUCGGGGAAGGAAGAGAGGAAGAGAGAGAGAGAGAGCCGAAGAAGAAGGAGGAGCUGCGGUGGCGUGCGUCGUCGGAGCGGCUUCGGAAGUGUGCGGGGCUGGCCGGCGAAGCUGCAGGCGUCAGCGGCGGCAGCGGCAGCGGCACCAGCGGGCGACGGGAGCAGCUCUCGCGCUAGGAGGAAGAUGGCCGAAGCUUCUUUGCCGCCGUGCGGGCGUUUCCGGCGUCGGUGGUCGCUGAUUUUGGUGCCGAUCGACUCCUCUCGGCCUCAGCUUUGUUUUGGCGGCAGCGGUGUCGACAGUGGUGGCCGGAAUCAGAGAUUCACGGUGGAGAGAGAAAAUGGUGGCAGCCGGCAUUUUUGGGCUUUUCCGGCGAGCUCCGGCGGAGGAUGGAUGAUCGGAGGAUGUAUCCCGACUCUCCUCAGCUCAAGCUUCGCGAUGGCACUGGUUUCGUGGCGAUCGGGCUUCGUUUGUGAAUCGACGGUCGAGAUCGUCCGCAAAUCUCUCCGGAUGAUCGGGUGUCAGAUCGGAAAAUCGGAAGCAGGGAUCGUCAUCAGCGCGUCGUUGUGAGUCUGAUGGUGUGUUCGGAUCGUCGAUCGGACUCCGGCGGCUGGAGGCGAGUCGACCAAGCGAUCGAACGUCUCGGUAAAUUUCUUUGGCCCGUUAAUUUUAGAAAUCCUUGGUUUAAUUUGUGUCUAUGGUUUAUAUUGUGUACUUGAUGAUAUUUGUGAGUCAUAAAUAUUUGUCUGUCAGUUGGCCUGCCAUAGUCGUGUUUUUGUGCUGUGUGGCGGAGUCGGGAAAUAGUGAAGUUUGGGGACCCGACUCCCGUUGUUUUAAUUGUUGGUUAUUUGGAGUGUUUUUCUGGCAGGUCCUGGACCCGUUUUUACGGGGGGUAAUGUUCGUGUUGUAGAGGAGGUUCUGCCGAAUUUUCGGUAGUUCCCAAGUCGAGAUUCUUAGACAGUUAGUUCUAGGAGUCUAGACCUAGGGUCUAUUGUAAUUGUUUCAUCGUUUUGAUAAAUUAUUUUCCGUGAUUAGAUGAUCUGUCUGUUCGGCUCGCUCCUACCGAGGCACCUAAGCUGAGCUAGGAGGUCGCAAAUCUGUGAGUAAAGUCAUAUAUCGUUUACGCACGUGUCAUGCAUAAAUUUGAUUGCUACUGUGAACNNNNNNNNNNNNNNNNNNNNNNNNNNNNNNNNNNNNNNNNNNNNNNNNNNNNNNNNNNNNNNNNNNNNNNNNNNNNNNNNNNNNNNNNNNNNNNNNNNNNNNNNNNNNNNNNNNNNNNNNNNNNNNNNNNNNNNNNNNNNNNNNNNNNNNNNNNUAUUUGGAUAUUUAAGUGACCAGACUGGAGGUAAGGUCCCUGGUCGAGCUUUGCUCUCGGGGCGCCAGUCUUAUUGGAUAAGAGAGCCAAAAGGCUAAGGCUGAGAGUUAAGUGACCGGACUGGAGGUAAGGUCCCUGGUCGAGCUUUGCUCUCUGGGCCCCAGUCCUGUUGGAAUGAGAGGUUUGAGAUGUUAGAGUUGAGGUUAGUUGAGACAUAAGUGUUGAAAUAAUCGAGAUUUUAGAGUUGGGAUUAGAGUUCUACUGAAGUACUCUGUCCCGUUGCAUGUGGAAUAAAUUUUGUUUAAGCAUGGCAUGACACGUAUGGUUCGCGUGAUUUACUAAUUAUUUUAAAAUUAAAUGAAUGUGACAUUGAGAUAUUUGAAACUGUUUUAGAUAUAUGAUUUUAACUCACUCUCGAGACUGACAGUCUCCAUUUAUGUUGUUUUUCAGAUUCGUGACUGUUAGUUCUCUCGCGACUCUUAUUCAGUAACCCGACUCCUUCAUCAUCGGGUGAAGUAUUUGAUUUGGUAUGUAAAAUGGUAAAUCUUAGAUUCUCCGCAGUAGUAAAUAGUAGAUGUAUCAGUUGUAAAUUUUCUGAGCUUCGGGUCUCGCCUAGUUUUUCUGGUAGACCGAAGUAAUUUUGUAAAGUGUAACUAUUAAGAUAAAUUGUGACUUUAAUAAUAUUAAUUUGAGAUGAGAUUUGUUUAAAUCAGUGAGUGUCAGGCUUACUACGGGUUUCGGUGGCCUUAAGCCUAUCCAUUCCCUAGUGCCGGUCACGGGCCCACGGGUGGGGUCGUGACAUGCCUCAUCAAAAGCUAGCAAAGCAGCGUUGAUAAAAGCUAUGGUGCAUGCGAUGCCUACCUACACUAUCUGGUGCCAAAAACCAUUUGUGACAGAGUACAAGCUUUUAUUGAAAAGGGAUAAGCGACUCCACUAGCUUAGUUUGGAUAAUGUCUACAGCUCUAAGAAACAUGGGGGUCUUGGUUUUAGGAAUUUAGAGUUGUUCAAUAAAGCCUUCCCAUCAAAACAAGGGUGGAGACUCAUGAAAGAUGAAACAUCACUGGUGGCUAGAACUCUGAAGGCGAAACAUUAUCCAAGGUUAGAUUUUCUUAACGCCAGAAAAGGGCCUCGAAGUAGUUUUACUUGGCAAAAUAUUUUUGUUGGCCAAGAUUUGGUAAGACGUGGAACUCAUUUAGAUAGUGGGUAAGCUCACAGCAUUAGAGUUUUUGAGGAUGGAUGGUAAGCAAGAUCUGAUUCUUUUAAAGUAUGGACAUCGAGGAAUGGUAUGGAUGUUGAGCUAAGGGCACAGGACUUAAUGAAUGAGACGUAGAGAGUGGAAUAACACGUUCAUUGACUUAAACUCUGUUCCCCUUCCCCAAGAUGCGUGCAAAUCAAAAAAAUCCAAUUAGCAAAUUCUAUUAAGAGACUUUAAAGUGGCAAGAGAGGUGUGGUUUGCAUCUUGUUUGGGAUUGAAUGUGCAGGGAUUUAUUGAUGCAUCACUAUGUGUUGGUUUGAGUAUAUUUUGAGGCACUUGGACGAGGAGGUGUUUGGGUUUAUUUUGCUUAUUUUUUGGGCUUCGUGGUACCCUAGGAAUGUAUUUAUUUUUUAGCAGAAACCCAUGACCUGUAGCAAAAUUCUCAACUUGAGUUAUAAAGUGCAUGCAGACAUCGCCAUCGCCAUCGCUAAUGGAAGUCAUGAGCAGAGCCGGACAACUGUUUCGCCGAUAUGGACAAGGCCAGUUGGAGAGAGACAUAUUUGGAUGGAGGAAGUGCCCAGAGUGCGUAAAACAUAUUUUGGCUGAUGCCUUUCGUUAACUGAUGCUUUUGUUUUUCUAUCAAAAGAAAAAGACACCUCUUUUCAAAAGAAAAUAUUAUAAGAUGUUAUUUGUUCUUUUAUGUUUUAAUUGUUAAACAAUUUUUUCAUCUUUGAUCUUUCAAUUGUAAGAUCUCAUGUUUGCUUACAGAAAUAUUAUCAGAUUUAUUAUGAAAUUUAUUUUGUUUAUUUUUAUAGCUAGCAAUAAAUAGAUUUAAUUAUUAUUAAAGAAAUUCAAGACUCAUAUAUAUUAUAAAACUAUAUUAAUUUUCCAUUAAUAAUUUUAUUUGUUUUAAGAAGAUAAACCUUAGCAAAUACUUUUUAAUAUGAACAAUUUUUUUUAUUUCUACUUUAAAAAUUAUAAAAGUAAAGUAUUUUGUUAGAAGUAUAUUGGAAUUUUGAUUUUACAUAUAAAAUAAUUAUAAAAAAUAUAAAGACAUUUUUUUUUUUUUUUUGUAAAAGUUCUGAUUAGUGAAAGUGUCUAUAGAAUUAAUUUUCUAGAAUUAGACUUAAUUAUGCUUAGUAAUUCAAAAUCUUAAUAAAAUUAGAAUAAUACCCACCCAAUGCAUGUUUAAUUAUAUAUUUUCAUUAUUAUUUUUUGUUAUGAAUAUUUUUAUAUUAUUUAAUUAUCUAUUCAGAAUAUUAUUUUUGAUUAUAAAUAAUAUAAACAUAUGAUACUAAAUAAAUGUAGAUAAUUAUCUAUAAUUAUUGAUUUCAAUAAUGAUUGAAUCAUUCGUUAAAUAAAAAUUUGUUCAGUUUUUUUUUUGUUUCUUUUACUAAUAAUAUUCAUAUAAAUCUAAAUAACUAGGAAUAUUUUAUAAAAUUGAAAAAAAAAAACUAUUAAAAAUAUAAAUCAAACCAAAUUAAAUAUUUCAAUAUAAUUUGGUUUAAUAUUUAUUGUUUAAAUAAUCUUUCAGAGUUUUUUGGUUGAUUUAGUAUUCUCUAUUUUUAAGUACAUAAUUCAAUAGUAUUAAUUUACUUUACAUGUAUAAAAAUAUAAAUAUUUUAUUUUAUUAAAUUGCAUAAAAAAUAUAAUCAAAAUUAAUUUUUAAUAAAUAUAUUAAAAAUAAUUUAUUUAUUAAUAUAAAAAUUGAAUUCUAUACAUUAACAAAGGCUUUUUAUUUGAGACUAUAAUAUGCUGCAAUAAUUUUGAUAAAAUAUAUGUAAUAUAAAANNNNNNNNNNNNNNNAUGGUCUAAUGAAUAUAAAUAUGAUGAUAAAGAAAAAAGAAUAAUUCUUUAAUUAAUAGAUAAUUAUUUUAUUAUGAAAAUUAAAAAAGUUAAAUAAUCAAUUAAAAUUUAAAAUUAUAAAGAAGAAUUUCAUAAAAAAAGGAUUAUAAAAUAAUGUAAAUCUAUAAAAAAACUUAUUUUACAUAGUAAUACAAAAUUUAAAGGAAUUAUCUAAAGUUGAAGUUACAAAAAGAAUUUAAAAAUUUUAAAAAUAUGAAAUAACAAAAUAUUAUAACUAAGAUGAUAAAUUUAUAAUAAAAUAUUCUCUAAAAUAAUAAAAAUAUGUUAGAAUUUAUUGAUUCUCUAAAAAUUAAAAAAAUUAACUUAAGAGUGAUACAAUAUGCUAUGUAGGAGAAACGAAAGAGGUGAAAUUCUUUUUCCUUUCUAUAGGGACCAGGAGAUUGGAUCUAGCCGUAAGAAGAAUGCUUGGCUGAUAAAUAACUCAUUUUUUGGUUUUCGACCCCCUCAGUCACUACAAACGCCCCUGAUCAGUGCAAUGGGAUGUGUCUAUUUAUCUAUCUCUUGACUCGAAAUGGAAACAGGUUUGAAAAAGGAUCUUAGAGUGUCUAAGGUGGGGCCGGGAGGGUCUGGUCUCUUAACGCCUUCUUUUUUCUUCUCAUUGGAGUUAUUUCAAAAAGACUUACCACGGUAAGGAAGAAGGGGAGAACAAGCACACUUAGAGAGCGCAGUAUAACAAAGAAUUCUAUGCUGCGUUCGAGAAGGAUGAAUCACUCCCGAAAAGGAAUCUAUUGAUUCUCUCCCAAUUGGUUGAACCGUAGGUGCAAUGAUUUACUUCACGGGCGAGGUCUCUGGUUCAAGUCCAGGAUGGCCCAGCUGCGCCAAAGAAAAGAAUAGAAGAAGUAUCUGACUCCUUCGUGCAUGCUCCACUUGGCUCGUGGAUAUAGCUCAGUUAGUAGAGCUCUACUCUUGCAAUUGGGUCGUUGCGAUUACGGGUUAGAUGUCUAAUUGUCCAAGCGGUAAUGAUAGUAUCUUGUACUUGAACUGGUGGCUCACUCUUUCUAAAUAAUGGGAAAGAGGACCAAAACAUGUCACUAAAAGACUCUACUGAGACAAAGAUGGGCUGUCAAGAACGUAGAGGAGGUAAGAUGGGCAGUUAGUCAGAUCUAGUAUGGAUCGUACGGGGACAAUAGAUGGAGUCGGCGGCUCUCCCAAGGUUCCCUCAUCUGGGAUCCUUAGGGAAGAUGAUCAAGUUGGCCCUUGCAAACAACUUGAUGUUUAAGAAUCACCGCCAAUACCUCGGUGUAGGUAAGUCUGGUAUAAUCAUUUGUUCCAUAGUCUAGGGCUAUUUACAACUAGCCAAUUAUGAAUUUUCAGAUGUACGUACUAGUACUAGCAAAUGCAUCAAAGAUGUAGUCAUCGAUUCUCCCGAGAUGCCACAAUUACCGCAAGCAAACAUAUUAAUGACGAAGAACAUAUUUUUGCUAUGCUACUAAUACUUAUACUUACUCUGCUAUUCUACCCAAGUCUGACUGAGGAAGAAUUAGGGGGGUAUAAAACAAAAAAAGAUUCGGUCUGGGGCAUGUGGAAUGAAUCUACCAUCGAUAAAAAAAAGAAUAAAAAAAGAAAACAUUCUAUUUCGACAAAAGAUCCACACCCAAGUUCCAUAGCUUUGGGUCCGCUAUCCCGAUCAUGAUUUUUCUACCUCUAGAAGGAAAGAUCCUUUCCUUUUUGGCCAGUUAUGGGCAAGGAGGGAUUUGAACCCCCUGACAUUGUGGUUCGUAGCCACGUGCUCUAAUCCUCUGAGCUACAGGCCCCACCCCCUCUCCAUUGGAUCUGUUCCCAGGAGUACCCUAACAAAGGAACCUUUCCUUUCCCCAGCCAUUUCGGGUUAAGAAGAUGCGAAAGUGCCUCUCUCUCUCUAUAAGAACGGGGCGUUUCGAGGUAUGAAGUGGGAGAAUGGAAUUUCAUAAUUGGGGUUUUGAAUAAGACAACCUUUUCAUUUUUUUUUCGUAUUGGAAAAGUAAUAAGAAUGAGGGAUGUUAAGCUUUUUAUCAUCCUGGAGUCGAGCUAUUUUUUCGCAUGACCUCCCCUAUAAUAUCUUCACCGCAGUAGAGUUUAACUACCAAGUUCGGGAUGGAUUGGUGUGGUUCCUCUACGCCUAGGACACCAGAAUAUCGAACCAUGAACGAACAAAGAAAUGAGAGAAAAUCAUAUUUGCUAGUGAUUGUAAGGCCCUAAUUCUUGACUAGGGGGGACACCAAAGGCCUCUGCCCUUCCAUUCUUGGAUCAAUAGAAAGGGAGGGCAAAGCUUUUGGCUUUUUCAUGUUGUCAAAGAGUUGAACAAUAAAAAUAGAUGGCGAGUACCUAAUCAAAUUGAUCGGGUCAUGUAGGAACAAUGUUCAAGUCUACCGGUCUGUUAGGAUGGCUCAGCUACAUACAUCACUGCACUUCCGCUUGACACUUAUCAUAAUGAUAAACGGCUGGUCUUGUUGUGACCUUCUUUUGAAUUCUCAAAACUUCUAUCACUCCACCCCUGCAGGGGUAGAGAACCCGUUGCUGUCUCGGCUGUGCUACCGAAGUUUCUAGGGAAGUCAGAAUAGGAGAGCACUCAUCUUGGGGUGGGCUUACUACUUAGAUGUUUUCAACAGUUAUCCACUCCAUACUUGGCUACCCAACGUUUACCGUGGGCAUGAUAACUAGUACACCAGAGGUGCGUCCUUUUCGGUCCUCUUGUACUAGGGAAAGGUCCUCUCAAUGCUCUAACGCCCACACUGGAUAUGGACCGAACUGUCUUACGAUGUUCUGAACCCAGCUCACGUACCGCUUUAAUGGGAGAACAGACCAACCCUUAGAACAUACUACAGCCCCAAAUGGCGGAGAGCUGACAUCAAGGUGCCAAACCUUCGCGUCGAUGUGAACUCUUGGGAAGAUUAGCCUGUUAUCCUUAGAGUAACUUUUAUCCGUUGAGCGAUGCUCUUUCCACUCGGCACUGUCGGAUCAUUAAGGCCAACUUUCGUCUCUGCUCGACGGGUGGGUCUUGCACUCAAGCUCCCUUCUGCCUUUGCACUCGAGGGCCAAUCUCCGUCCGGCCCGAGGAAACCUUUGCACACCUCCGUUAUCUUUUGGAAGGCCUAUGCCCUAUAGAAACUAUCUAUUUGAGAUUGUCCCUUGGCCUGUAGGUUCUGACACAAGGUUAGAAUUCUAGCUCUUCCAGAGUGGUAUCUCACUGAUGGCUCGGACCCCCCCGGAAGGGGGCCUUCUUCGCCUUCCACCUAAGCUACGCAGGAAAGGCUCAAAGCCAGUCACGGGGAACAAUGAAGCUUCAUAGGGUCUUUCUAUCUAAGUGCAGGUAGUCCACAUCUCCAUAAACAUGUCUAUUUCACCGAGCCUCUCUCCAAGGCAGUGCCUAGAUCGUUACGCCUUUCGUGCGGGUCGGAACUUUCUCAACAAGGAAUUUUGCUACAUUAGGGCUGUUAUAGUCACGGUCGCCGUUCACCGGGGCUUCGGUCACCGGCUCCCCUGUCAUCAGGUCACCAACUUCCUUGACCUUCCGGCACUGGGCAGGCGUCAUCCCCAAUACAUGGUCUUACGACUUUGUAGAGACCUGUGUUUAUUAUAAACAGUCACUAGGGCUUGGUCACUGCAACCCCCUUUGUGAGGAGGCACCCCUUCUUCCGAAGUUACGGGGCUAUUUUGCAGAGUUCCUUCAAGAGAGUUGUCUCGUGCCCCUAGGUAUUCUUUACCUACCUACCUGUGUCGAUUUCGGGUACAGGUACCCUUUUAUUGAAGGUCGUAUGAGCUUUUCCUGGUAGUAUGGCAUGGGUUACUUCAACGCUGUAGUGUCUGGUACUCGAACAUUGGCUCGAGGCAUUUUCUCUACCCCUUCUUAUCCUGAAAAAGCAGGGACACCGUGCGUCCUUGAACCGAUUACCAUCUUUCGGCUAACCUAGCCUCCUCCGUCCUCAAGACCAAUAAGGGGUAGUGUAGGAAUAUUCAAUUGUUGUCCAUCGACUACGCCUGACUCACCCACUGUGGACGAACCUUAGGUGAUAUAUAUAUAUAUAUAUAUAUAUAUAUAUAUAUAUAUAUAUAUAUAUUGAACUUAGAAUUAGACUCCUGCUACAUGAAUUAUAAUUAAUAAAUUAAAUUACUAAAUAAAUAAAUUAACGUAAUUAACUAAAAAAUUAAUGAGACUUUACCAAUAAUUAAUUUAAUAAAAAUUAAUAUUGAUAAUUAAUAUAAUAAUAAAUAAUAUUAAUAAUUAAUAUGAUAAUACUGGAAAUCAUUAAAUUCGUCAAUCCCUUUUAUUUUGUUCUUUUAUGAAAAAUUGGCCGGUCGUUGUAUGUGAUAAUUAUACUAUAUUGAUCAUUCCUUAUCUAAUGAUUAUCAAUCCGUGCAUAAAAAAUUAAUUAUGAGUAUAAAAACCUAUUUAUUGAACUUUUAGUUUAAAAUAAUUAAGUCUAAAGAAGAUAAGGAACUUUAUUAUCUUUUAUAAAAAUUCUACUUAUUGAGAGUGUCUAAAAUUAGAUUUAAUUAUAUUAAAUAAUUAAAAAUAGUUAACUUCUAGAAUUAAUUUUAUACUAAUAAAUUAUUAAUUAUUAAUAUUAAGUUAUAAAUAACUAAUUAAUUUUUUAACUAAAGGAUUACUUACUAAGUUAAUCAGUAAAUUUGUCUAUCACUCUUUUUUCAUAUUAGAAGUUCUCUGUAGAGGUCAUCAAUUGUAAUAAUUUUAUAAAUUAUUUCCCUUUUUCUUACUGAAGAAAUAUAUUAUUGGUUUAAAAAAAUUAACUUUUUAUGACUUAUGAAGUAUAAUAUUUAUGAUGUAUAAAAUUUUGGAUUCAUCUACUUAUUGGUAAGUAGAAUUAAUUUUAUUAUUUUGAUACUUUCUAGUAAUAAAACAUUCCUUCUCCAAUAAAAUUCAUUCUUUCUUAAUUCUUAUUUUAAUAAAAAUUCAUGUUUCUUACUUUUCUAUAUUAAAUUUUUAACUUAUUCUUCAAUUAUGAUUUUAAUAUGACUGUUAAUAUUAAAAUGCAUAAAUCAAUUAAGGUAAUUUAGUCAUUUACUAAUUUAAUUUAGUAAUUAAUGAUUUAUUUAGUAUAAAUUUAAUUCUAGAAAACUAUAUUAGAAUUUUUAAUUAAAUAAUCUUUAUAAUUCUUUGUAAAACAUGAAAAUUGCAAGUUUCAAGACUUUAAAUUUGAGAACUUAAAUUUUCAUGAAAGAAAGAGAAAACAUAAUUCAAAUAACAAAGUAUUUUUUUCUCUUUGAUUUUUCAUUUGAAAUUAAUAUUUUCAUUGAAAACGACAACAAAUUAGAAAGUAUGUAAUAGUUCAAAAAUAAUUAUAAAUGAGAGGCUCCAAAUAAUCUAAAGUCAAAACAGCCAGUAUUUUGAAUAAGAAACUCUCUAAGGAAAAAUAAUUUGGCAAUUACAUCUUUAUUGAUGGGAUGCUUAAUAAUUGGAUAAAAUUUAACUGAGUAAUUUGGAAUUUGGAAUUAUGGAUUUUCUUUUGUAUAAAUUAAUCAUCUUCACAAGUUGGAUUAUAAAUAAAUUUCAAGUAUAUAGUCUCUAUUAUAAGCAUGUUUUAUAUUGCUAAUUUUAAAUUUUAAUUUAUAUACUAUAAAGCCUUUUUGAAAACUUUAAUAUUGUUACAAAUACUUUCAAUUUGAUUCUAUUAAAAUGUAAUAUAUGAUAUUAAUAUUAUUAUUGACUUUUUAUACUCAUAAAAAUUUUAAAUUUAUAUUAAAUUAUUAUAAUUACAUCAUAUGUAUGGCUAUUUUUUUAGCUAAACGCAGGUAAAAAGAUAUUAGUAAUAUUAAAACUGAAAGUUAGUUUUAUGAUAAAAAAAUUAAAUUUUUCUCUUUAAAAAUUAAAUUAAAAAGAUACUUUUUUCUCUUUCAUUGUAACUAUCUCUAUGGACUCUAAGGAAAUUAAAAUGUCGAUUUUACUCUUAAUCUAAUGUUAAUCGUUUUUGUUUGAAAUAUUAGUUAUAAAUAUAAAUCAAAGUAGAAAGAAUUAUAAAAAUUAUUUAAUAAUUAAAAAUUUUAAUAGAGUUGAAUUUUUAAAAUUAGAUUUAUACUAAAUGAAUUAUUAAUUAUUAAGUUAAAAUAAUAAAUAACUAAAUAAUUUUAAUUAACUAAAAGAUAAGUAAGGGUAAUGACUAACUUUGCCUAUCCCACUUAUUAGCUUUUUCUUUUUUUUUUUUUUUUUUUUUUUAUAUGUACGUUAUGAUAAGUAGAAAGUAUCUUUUUCUGCCAAUCAACUUUUAUGAGUUUACUUUUACAUUUUCUUAAUUCAAAUUUUAAACAAUGGAUCUAUUUAAAAUUUUUUAGUGUUUACUCAGAAUAUCUAUAAUCAAGCAAGAAUGCAGUAAACGGUAAACUCUUCUUAAUAUUGUAUAAUUAUAAGAAUUUGAACUCAUAAACUUUAAUAUCUAUAUUCCAGCAAGGAUGUAGUAAAUGGUAAACUCCUCUUAGUAUGCCUUAAAAUUAGUCAGUGUACUACUAGAUCAAUACCAUAUUGGUGUCAAUAGUAUCUAAUAAUUAAAACAAUAAUAACACAAUAACUCUUUCUUUUUAACUAUGGAUUUAGCAUGUAAGCAUAUAUUUUAUCUUCCUUUCUGUAUUUUCCUUCUCUUUUCUCUCUCCAGCCUCAAUAUCUUUGAUUUGUUCUUAAAUUAUUCAGGUAAAAGUCAGUUAUAAGGAGAGAUCACGAGUCAACCACUAAGUCUUUGGCACAGUAAAAGAGCUUUACGAAAAUUAGAUAGAGCUGUCAAGUUCAAACCUUUAUUUCUCUUUUUUAUAAUAAUAACUAUAAAGAAAAGAUAUGGGUCCAAGUCGUUCUUUGUAAAUAUAAUGUGGCCUUGAUCAUAUUCCUUCUCAUCUUCCGAGUAAGAAUGGGUCUCAUGUUUGGAGAUCAAUUUGCAAGAAUUGGAAUGUUAUCAAAAGCGGAGUGAGAUGGAUUAUUGGUAAUGACAGAAAGGUUCUCUUUUGGCUAGAUCCUUAGAUGGCUAAUAGUAAACCAUUGUUGUUUUAUGCUACUGGCCCGAUGUUUGAGGAAGUCUUAGAGGCAAGGGUCUAUCACUUUGUUAGCUCCAACGACAAUUGGAUUUGGGCUAAGUUUUCUAAGGUCUUGCCAUCUCAAAUCUUUCUCAAAAUUACAAACGUUAAACCUCCUUGUAAUGAGGAUGGUGAUGAUUUUAUGACUUGGGCAUGGCCUAAGAAUGGAAAGUUCUUUGUUGGGACAGCCUAUAACCAAAUGGUGAGCAGUGAAUGGAAUGAGGAAAAUUUCUCAUAGAGGUUGGCAUGGGAUUAGAAAGGGCCUUUAGAGGAUAAAAGUUUUCAUUUGGCUAGCUUGAACAAGAAUUUGACUGCCAAAGUGAAGCUGGUUAGGAGGUAAAUUAAGGAUGUUCCUAUUUUGACAUUUGUGGCAAUGCUGUAGAGGAUAUUCUCCAUGUGUUGCGGGAUUAUUUGGUAGCUAGACAAAUCUAGAAAAGCUUAAUUCCUCCGGAUAGCCAGAUGGCUUUCUUCUUACUAGACCUGCAUAAUUAAAUGUUAAGUGAUACAGGCAUUCAAGGAGAGAUAAAUUGGUCUAUCACCUUUAGAGUUGCUCUAUAGAAAUUAUGGAGGUGGAGAAAUGAUGCGCGUUAUCUGUACAUGACAAAAUGCACCGAUCGUAUUAAGUAAUACAAUAAUAAAUAAGAGCAUCGUUCCACUAGGGAUCUAAUUGUGAGUAAUAUCUUCAAUCAUACACUAAUAUUUAGCAAUCAUAAUAUUGUUGGGUUGUAAUAAUAUUUAAUGGUCAAAUAAUCUUGAAAACAAAGAUUAAAACAAUUAGUAAACUUAUCAAGAAUAAAACCAAUUUAGACAGUAAAUCUCCUUAAUAAGUUAAGUAUUUCAUGAAACAAACAAUAGUUAAUUCAAAUCAAGAGUUGAGUUAGCAUUUCAUAAAAUUAGGUUUAAACCUUUCUCAAGUGAUUAAACCCCUAAUUCCUAAGAGGAGGGAGAGGAAUCUCUUCCCAAACUAACUCACUUAGGUCAUGCAUUAAGAUUAAAAAACUAUUCAACCAAAGGAUCUUGUAGAUCUAUCUUUAGUAUCCUAAUCAAUCCUCAAUCCCUAAGAUGUUAUCAAUUUAUAAAAAGUUAUCUCUAAUCACUUUAUGAAAAUAAAUCAUAGUCAAUACGUCGACUUAUCAAUUGAAAUAGAUAAUUAAGCAAUCAAAGGAACAAAACAACUCAUAGAAAAAAUUAAUUGUAUUAACUUUGAAUCAAUCCAUACAAAACAAAUUAGGGUUCAUCAAAACCAAAAUAGCAAGAAAAUUAGUUCCUAAAAAUUACAAUAGAGAAAUAAAGAUUAGGAAAAGAAGAUCUCAAACUAUUCAUGGAAGAGUAGAGACAAAAAUCUUCAAUCUUCAAAAGUAAUGAAUGAAUUAAUGUUCUUUCUUGAGAAAUAACAAUCAAAACCCUAAAAAUGAAAGAAAGAUAAAGUUUCUAAGUAUUUCUCUCUCUAGAAAUGAAAAUAUAACAGAACUUCCUUAAAAAACCCCUAAAGUCCUUUAAAUAGUGUAUUUUUAUGAUUGACAAGGGGACCACACGGGCACCACAAGGUCGUGUGAUGUCCUUAGCUUUUCGAAGCUUGAAUAUAUAUUUCUUUCUGUUCUUUACUCUACGGGCUAUUUUAGGAUAUCAUAAAAAUUGAAUUAAGGCUUACGUUCUUCAUCAAAGUUGUAGCUUUUGAAGAGUAGUUCAUUUUAAGAUUUGCAACACUUCAAUUAAACCUCUUUAGCUCUAGAUAAAGUCCAAAUACUGAGACUGACCCAAACAGAGAUGGAGUGCAUAACAUCUGACUUCAACCUAAGCUUUCUCAUCCUUAGCAACCUAAUAUGGAGUUGAGCUAUUUAUAAGCAUUAUAGCUGAGGAAGUCCUCUACAAAAUUGAUGAAGACCAGUUUUCAAUUCUAAACCUGUAAGAUCACAAAAAACUACACUAAAACUAAUGCGAUUAAAUCUGCGUAAUGCUGAAAUAUCAGUCUGACACGGAAAGCACACGCCCGUGUGGAUCCUUCAUACAAUCUGCCAUUUCUUACAACUCAAAUGAGAAGGCACACGCGUGUGCCUUCCCGUGUCACAUUGAACUUUGGAUAAAUAUGCCUUUUCUUUGCUAGAUUCUCAUACUUUUCAAUUUUAUUUGACUCAUUAACAUGUAUUAUCCUUAAAGUGCCUAAAAGAACUGAAAAUUAAGCUUGAAUAAACAAAUCAAAUUAAAUUGCAGUAAAAAUUAAUAUAAGAUAAAGCUGAAAAGUAAGUACCUUUAGCACUUAUUAAAUUUCCAAACACUUAGCAAUUGCUUGUCCUCAAGCAAAUUGAAUAGAAUCAGAAAUAAAGAAAUAAUAAACUCUUUGUUUAACAAAUAGAUAUUAAAUAAUAUCAAGGUUAAUCAUUCAUAUCAUUAAAGCCUAGAAUCAUUAGCCAAUAAUUAAUCCUUAAACAAAAUACCAACAUCUAGGGGAAUCACAUAAUAGGAAGUAAUGAAAAUUAAAACCUUAACAUCUAAAGUCAGGGAAAUGAGCAUUCUUUGCAAAUAACCCAAAAUUUUAAAGAAAAUAGAGAAAAGAUUUUUUCCCUGAGCACAAAAAAACUUCAUGAACCGCAAUUACUUAUGUCUCUGUUUUUUUUAGAGAUCUAUGCAUAUUCAAAAUUGUCAUUCUUUUGACGCGAAUGUAGAUAUGGAUGAUGCCAACCCCCAGUUACUUAACUAGAGUCACAAAUCUAAAUAACUACUCAUAUUCUCGGGUUUCUUUCAAUUUAUUUCUUUUUAUUUCGAAUGAGAAUAGCGGAAUAGAGCAAAAAACUCUUAGCAUUGUAUUUUGUUUACGUUCAUUUUUUUGACAUUUCGAAAGAAUAAGAGAGUACAAAGGAGUAUUAGAUGUGUCUACUUGAUAAGAUUAAGCGAAAUUUGAAAACUUAAUGCUCAUAAAUAUAACUAAAGUUUCAAGAUAUAAAAAUAACGCGACAUUAUGAAUUAAAAAUCCUAGCAUGGAUACCAAGUUCAAGUCAUAAUUCAAAGUGAAAUCAACUAAAUCGCAAUUCAAUAAAUGACUAACCAAAUUUAUUAUUUUGUACCUAUAAAUUUGAGAUAGAGAAAAUCAUAAUAAGUAAUUAAUUAAACUUAAUAAGCUUAUAGAAAAUUAAUCACAAAUAGGCAAAAGACAACAAAAAUGCUUCCCCCACACUUAAUCGACAUUAUUGUCCCCAAUGUAUUUGUUAUAUAACGUACAAUAAAAUAAAAUAAGGAGGAGACUUAAACCGAAUGAUUGUCGUUUUUUUUUAAUUCAAAAUUCAUUCUAAUUCACAAGUCAUCUGUUUAUCUAUCGCACAUCUAAGAAUAGAAAUAAAUGUUAUAACAUAUAUAGUCAUCCAAUAACAAAAGAAAACAAAAACACUAAAAAUAAAAAAACCAUAAAUAUCCUAAUUAAGUACAAUCAUCUAAAAAUAAAAUAAAAGACAUAGAAACAAAUCAAAAUAAAAGUCCAGCUCAAAUGCUAGAACAAGGUGGAGGUUCAAAUCCUCCAUACCAUCAUCUCCACCAACCUACAUCAAGGAGCUUAAUCAUCACCACCAAAAAUGCAUAUUCUAAAUGAGAUAAGAAUUGCUUAAGCUUCAAAGUUAGUAGGUAUUUAAUAGGAGGCUUCAUUCUUUCUUUGAUGGGCAUCUCAAUAGCUUUUGAUGUUUUCAGUUUUUCUGGUUUCUGCACAAGACACAACUCAAAAGUAUCUUUAGCAAUAAUAGAUAAAAUUAAAUUGACAAUUUCAUGCUCUAUCAUAUCAACACUAGAAUCCAUAUCAUUAAGUGCAAGUGGGUGUUUUAUGCCAUUGGGGGUUUAAAAAGUCAAUUGCUCAUCCCCUACCCUAAGAAUGAGUUUACCAUCAUGAACAUUAAUAUAGUUCUAGCUGUAGCAAGAAAGGAUUUAUCAAGAAUAAGGAAAACAUCAACAUCCUCAUCUAUAUUCAUGAUCAUAAAAUCCACAAGAAGAAUAAACUCUUGAACCUUUACCAAAACAUCUUCAAUGAUAUCCCUAAGGUAUACAACAGAUUUAUCAGCUAGUUGAACACUCAUGAGUGUUGGUUUAGGUUCUCUAAGUCCUAGUUUCUUAGAAAAAUUAUAAGGCAUAACACUAAUGCUAGCCUCCAAGUUAGCAAGUGCAUUUUCAACAUUUAAAUUACUAAGCUUCUUUCGUAAUCGCCUCUCAAAGAUCGCCGAGCUCUUCUCUGAUAGUUGCACCAUUGACACUUCCUUAAGCUUCCUCUUGUUAGAGAGGAGUUCCUUUAAGAACUUAGCAUACUUAGAAAUUUACGAUAGAGCUCCUAUAAAAGGUAUGUUAAUAUGCAACUACUUAAAGAGUUCAAGAAACUUACUAAAUUUUAUAUCCAAUUUGUCCUACAGAAGAUGGGCUGGAAAUGGUACCCUUGGUUUAUACUCCUUCACAAAAGGGGUAGGCUUUGGUGUUACUUCUACUUUAUCUUCUACUUUAUCUUUAACCGCAUCAGAUUGCUUUUCUGCUUACUUUGUUUCAGUUCAUAAUUAUUUUCCAUUUCUGAAAGUAAUGACCUUGAGUUGCUCUCUAGGAUUUGUCUCUAUGUUGCUAGGCAAGCUUCCUUGGGACCUUUCACUCAAAAGCUUUAUAAUCUGCCCCACUUGAUUUUUUAAGUUGUGAAUCGAAUCUUGUUGGUUCCUAAGAGCAGUUUUUGUAUACUGAAACCUUAAUUCAGAAGCUAAGAUAAAUUUCUCCAUCAUCUCCUCUAAAUUACUCCUUCUAGGAGGAGCUUGUUGCUGGUUUUGCUAUUGAAAUCCUGGUGGUGGAGGUCUUUGCUGAUUCUGAUUCCCCCAAGAGAAAUUCAGAUGAUUUCUCCAUCCUAAAUUAUAUUUAUUGCUGUAGGGGUUGUUCUAUUGGUCUGAAGCAUUACCCAUAUAAUAAACAUGCUUUAGCUUAGCAAAAGUAUUGCCAUUUUGGCAAUCUUGACAUAGAUGACCACACCUAUACCAAUCACAAGUCAUAACUUGUGCCUGUCUUCCAGAUGAAGACAUAGUCAAAGCAUCCAUCUUCCUGCUCAUAGCCUUUCACUGUGCAUUUACAGUUACCAUAGGGUCUACCGCAUGGAUUCCACUCCUUUUGACUCGAACCUACUCUCUUGGAUUCUGCCAUUGAUAGUUCGUGACUGCCAUAUCCUCAAUAAGAUCCAUAGCUUGCUCAAGAGUCUUAUUGUUUAGUGAUCUACCUGCUGUAGUAUUAAUAGACUAUUUACUUGCGUAAUUCAGUCCAUUAAAGAAUGUUUGAAUUUGUAGCCAUAAAAGUAAAUCAUGGUGUGGAUGGCUUCUCAGUAAAUCUUUGAAACAUUCUCAACAAUUGUAUAGAGUCUCAUUCUCUUACUGAAGAAACCUUGUUAUGUCAUUCCUUAACUUGGCCAUCUUAGAAGGUGAAAAAUAUCUUUCCAAGAGUUUCUCGGCCAGCUGAUUCCAAGUCGUAAAUAUCCUACUUGGAAAUAACUUCAACCACUUCUUUGGCUUAUCCCUUAAUGAAAAUGGGAAUAGCCUCAACCGAAUAGCACCAUCUAAUACCCUAUUAAUCUUGAAGGUAUCGCAAAUCUCCAGAAAAUCAUUUAAAUGGGUGUUUGGAUUACCAUUUGAAUGAUGUUAGGCUUGAUCUCGAAGUUUUUUACUACAACAUUUGACCUUAUAAUACUCGAUGUGGCCCCAUUAAGAGUUUGGCAUGCAUACUCCUGCAUGAUUCUCUCCCUCGGUGGAGCUGCCAUCCUUAACUAUUCCCCUUCUUAGUUUGGUUCUCCUUCUUGAUUUCGAUUCUGUAACUCUGCUGGCAUUUCGGCUAAAGCUCGUUCUCGUUCUUCUCUUUGUUGCUUCCUUAAAGUUCUUUCCAACUCUAGUUCGUAAGCAAAUAAUUCAGUUGAACUAGCUCGGGUCAUAUACAAAUUCAAGUAUUUACAGAAAAUACAAACAUAACAAAGAUAAAUCAAAUGAAAAAUAAAAAUGCUAAAUUACUAGCUUUUGAAUUACUAAUGAUAUCACAAUAGAAAAUAGGUCCCCGAUAACGGCGCCAAAAAUUUGAUGCGUGCUAUCUGCACAUGGCAAAGUGCACCAAUCGUAUCAAGUAAUAUAAUAAUGAAUGAGAGUAUCGUUCUACUAGUGACCUAAUUAUGAGUAUUACUUUCAAUCAUACACUAAUGUUUAACAAUAAUAAUGUUGUUGAGGUGUAAUAAUAUUUAAAAGUAAAAUAAUCUUUAAAACAAAGAUUAAGACAAUUGGUAAAGCCUAUUUAGGUAAUGAAUCCCCCUAAUAAGUUAAGUAUUUCAUGAAACAAACAACAAUUUCAAAUCAAGAAUUGAGUUAGCAUUCUACAAAAUUAGGUUUAAACCUUUCUCAAGUGAUUAAACUCCUAAUUCAUAAACGGAGGGAGAGAAAAUCCCUUCUCGAACCCACUCACUUAGGUCAUACAUUAAGAUUAAGAAACUAUUGAACCGAAGAAUCUUGUAGAUCUAUCUCUAAUAUAUCAAUUCUCAAUCCCUAAGAUGUGAUCAAUUUAUAAAAAGUUAUCUCUAAUCAGUUUAUGAAAAUAAAUCUCAAUCAAUACAUCGACUUAUCAAUUAAAAUAGAUAAUUUAGCAAUCAAACGAACAAAAUAACUCAUAGAAAAGAUUAAUUUUAUUAACUUUGAAUCAAUUCAUGCAAAAUAAAUUAGGGUUCAUCAAAAUCCAAAUAGUAAGAAAACUAGUUCCUAAACAUGACAAUAGAGAAAUAAAGAUUAGAGAAAAAAGAUCUCAAACUAUUUAUAGAAGAAUAGGGAUGGAAAUCUUCAAUCUCGGAAAGUAAUGAAGGAAUUGAUAUUCUUCCUUCAGAAAUAUUAAUCAAAACCUUAAAAAUGAAAGAAAGAGAAAGUUUAUAAGUGUUUCUUUCUCUAAAAAUAAAAAUAUAACGGAACUUUCUCAACACAACCCUAAAAGUUACUUAAAUAGUGUAUUUUUAUUACACGGGCACCACACAGCCGUGUGACGUCCUUAGCUUUUCGUAACUUGAAUAUGUGUCUCUUUUCAUUCUUUACUUUGCAGACUAUUUUAGGGCAUCGUAAAAAUCUAAUUGAGGCUUACAUUCUUUAUCAAAUUUUAGCUCUUGGAGAUUAGUUCAUUUUAAUAUUUUGAAUCACCUCAAUAAGACCUCUAUAUCUCUAAAUAAGGCCUAAACACUAAGAUUGACCUAAACAAAGACGGACUGCACAACAUCUGAUUUCGAUCCAAGUUUUCUCAUCCUUAGCAACCUAAUAUGGAGUUAAGCCAUUCAUAAGAAUUAUAGCUUAGGAGGUCCUCUAUAAAGUUGAUGAAGACCACUUUUCAAUCCUGGACCUUUAAGAUCACAAAAAAGUAUAUUGAAGCUAAUGAAAUCAAAUAUGCGUAAUGCUGAAAUUCGCCUAUUAAUAUGACACGAGAAGCACACGCCCGUAUGGGCUUCCCAUGUGGACCCUUCAUGCAUUUGCCAUUUCUCACAAUGGAAGACUACAUGCUUGUGUGGCUUCCCGUUUCACACUGAGUUUUGGAUAAAUAUGACUUUCUUUUGCCCGAUUCUCAUACUUUUUAAUUUUAUUUGACUCUUUGAUAUGUAUUAUCCUUAAAGUGCCUAAAACAAUUAAAAAUUAAGCUUGAACAAACAAAUCAAACUCAAUUGAAAGUAAAAUCAAUAUAAAAUAAAGCUAAAUAAUAAGUGCUUUUAGCACUUAUCAAGAAAUGAACUCUUUUUUUAAAAUGCAAGCUUGUGGAAGGAGCGAAUGAUAUCUGACAUUCUUUGUUUUUAGCUGAAAUUGCAAGGACUGCCGAAGGUCAUGGUAGUAGAAGCUAUAACGAGUUGCUUGUCUAUUAGACACCUUCAAAGGGACCCAGUUUAAAGCUCAACACUGAUGUGGCUUUCUGCUCGAAUACUAUGCAUGUGAAUGGGGGUGGGGUUCUGCAGGAUGUUAAGGCUAUGUGGCAGGAAAGCUUUAUCAUGAAUAUAGGGUGUUGCUCAAUUACUAAGGUGCAGGUAUGGGCCUAUUUAAAGGUCUACAUUUUGCUUGGGAGAGAGGAGUUUGAAACCUAGAAUUAGGGCUGAUAGCUUGUGUAUCGUGCAGCUUGUCGAAAGUCAAAAAUUAGGGAUCAACACUCACUGCCAGCUUACGAAGGGUAUUAAGAAUCUUUUGUCUAGGAAUUGGCAAGUCUUAUUAAGGCAUAUCUUCAGAGAGGCCAACAGGGUAGCUAAUUAGCUAAUAAGCUUUGCUUCAACUUUUCCAUUGGUUUUUAUAGGGAUAAUAAUAUAAAUGGUCACUAAACUUUGCAAUUAAUUUUAUUUGGAUUAUAAAAUUUUAAUUUAUUUUAUUUCAACAAUUCAAUAUUAGUUUUAGUUGUAAUUUAGUCACUUUGCCAAUAAAAAAUUGCCAUGUCACAAUUUUCUUACUUAAUUAUAUUUUUCUUAUUAAUUGUUUUUACUACCAUCAAUCUUGUAUUUAAGAAGUGAAUAAUUGAAAUAAAAUUAAGAUUAAAUGACAAACAAAAAAAAAAAGAUUUUAUGAUUAAAAUAAAACGGAAUACAAAGUUGUUUUAAAGAAUCCGCCGGUCAUCUCUUAUUUCAGGAUGUUGUUGACUACUAGUAGAGUUAUCAGUAUUUAUUAGCUUUCUUUAAAUCUCUUUUUUGUAAAAGAAGAAAAAAAGGAGUGCGAGUCAAUUUUUCAGUUCAACAUUUAUUCUCAAGUAGAAGCUCUCUCUUAUUACAAACUGAAGAGAUGAGACCAUCCAUCAAAGUCUUCUUUUAUUUUUCCGGACUUCGCAUUGACCUACACAUCCCCCCGCUCCCCAUAGAAAAAGAUAAAAAAAGGCCAUGUACGCCUUUCUCAGUACAAAGCUUAAGCAUCAUAAUGCCUUCUUCCUGACUGGAACCUUGAGCUACCUAAGGUUGUUUCCUCUCUAGCAAACUUGAUUCUCCUUGCCUCUUCUAUCGACACCCGGAAUGCAUUGGCAAUCACCUCCACUGGCAUGCCGCGAACAGCAGAAGUGCGGCCGGAAAGAUCAGAGGUCAUGGCAUUGUCGUUGGUCUUGAAGGCAACGUAUUCGAAUCUGUCACUCUCUGACCGUUUCACCACCACAAAGUUCUGUGGCACGGUCAGGACCUGUCCUUCUCGUACAUUUCCAUCGAACACACUGUUGCCGUUCUCAUCCACCACCUGAAUCCGUGCUUGACCCUUCACGGCAUAGAUUACGCUGUGGGCAUUUAUAUGCCAGUGGGGUAACCUCACAGCAUCCUGCCAGGAACAUAUCAAUCAUUAUAAGUUGUGGAAGCGCUUCAUUAUAGUUAGAAUCGAAGGAGCAUUGAUGACUUACAUUGCGAAGAACGACAUGCGAAGCACUGAGUUGGAGCCAUCGCAGAAUAGGGAGGUUGUGGCUGUUGACAGUGCUAACACGGCCAACUUCUGGGACAAAUACAUCAGAGCGAGAGGGAUCAGCAAUGUUCUCUUUCAUUCUCAUGGUGCAAAAUGUCUCCUCAACGCCAUUGUAACGUCCUGGUCGGCCUUCUUGCUCUCUCUCUCGUUGUUCCUCUCUCUCCUGUUGAGUCCUGGGUGGCCUAACUACCAGAAGCCUACCUUCUACAUUCACAAUGCUGCCUCUGAAGUCACUUUGGCCUUGAAGUUUCCUAGCCAACUGCUCGUCCACGUUGAAAGCUUCGGCAAGGACUCUUGAGUCUAUUCCGC